RNAcentral lists this ribosomal RNA (252 nucleotides) under uncultured bacterium. RNAcentral describes it as "partial 16S ribosomal RNA". It matches the Rfam family "Bacterial small subunit ribosomal RNA", at positions 524 to 776 of the family's 1533-position model. The record is from RNAcentral.
UACGAAGGGGGCUAGCGUUGUUCGGAUUUACUGGGCGUAAGCGCACGUAGGCGGGUCGUUAAGUCAGGGGUGAAAUCCCGGAGCUCAACUCCGGAACUGCCUUUGAUACUGGCGACCUUGAGGCUGGAAGAGGUUAGUGGAAUUCCCAGUGUAGAGGUGAAAUUCGUAGAUAUUGGGAAGAACACCAGUGGCGAAGGCGGCUAACUGGUCCAGAUCUGACGCUGAGGUGCGAAAGCGUGGGGAGCAAACAGG